GGUUGGUGCAAAAGUAACUGCGGUUUUUGCCAUAGUAAUGGCAAAAACCACAAUUGCUUUUACACCA
Pan paniscus (pygmy chimpanzee) is the source of this 67-nucleotide microRNA precursor. NCBI's taxonomy places the organism in Eukaryota, Metazoa, Chordata, Mammalia, Primates, Hominidae. The record is from Ensembl.